This 507-nucleotide small RNA is filed under the name Sarocladium terricola. RNAcentral describes it as "eukaryotic LSU rRNA". It matches the Rfam family "Eukaryotic large subunit ribosomal RNA", at positions 93 to 610 of the family's 3401-position model. Lineage: Eukaryota; Fungi; Ascomycota; Sordariomycetes; Hypocreales; Sarocladiaceae. The record is from RNAcentral.
GUGAAGCGGCAACAGCUCAAAUUUGAAAUCUGGCCGCAAGGUCCGAGUUGUAAUUUGUAGAGGAUGCUUUUGGCGAGGUGACUUCCGAGUUCCCUGGAACGGGACGCCAUAGAGGGUGAGAGCCCCGUACGGUCGUGCCACCGAGCCUCUGUAAAGCUCCUUCGACGAGUCGAGUAGUUUGGGAAUGCUGCUCUAAAUGGGAGGUGUACGUCUUCUAAAGCUAAAUACCGGCCAGAGACCGAUAGCGCACAAGUAGAGUGAUCGAAAGAUGAAAAGCACUUUGAAAAGAGGGUUAAAAAGUACGUGAAAUUGUUGAAAGGGAAGCAUUCAUGACCAGACUUGGGCUUGGUUGAACAUCCGGCGUUCUCGCCGGUGCACUCUGCCAGCUCAGGCCAGCAUCAGUUUGCCCCGGGGGACAAAGGCGGCGGGAAUGUGGCUCCCUACGGGGAGUGUUAUAGCCCGUCGUGUAAUGCCCUGGGGUGGACUGAGGUUCGCGCUUCGGCACGG